This 1423-nucleotide ribosomal RNA is filed under the name bioreactor sludge metagenome. RNAcentral describes it as "bacterial LSU rRNA". It matches the Rfam family "Bacterial large subunit ribosomal RNA", at positions 1012 to 2442 of the family's 2925-position model. The record is from RNAcentral.
CGAGAGGAGAAGAAUCCAGACCAUCAGCUAAGGUCCCCAAAUAUAUGCUAAGUUGAAUUAACGAAGUCGAACUGCAGCGACAGCUAGGAUGUUGGCUUGGAAGCAGCCAUUCAUUUAAAGAGUGCGUAACAGCUCACUAGUCGAGCGGUUUGGCAUGGAUAAUAAUCGGGCAUAAGCAUAUUACCGAAGCUAUGGACUCAGAGAUGAGUGGUAGGGGAGCAUUCCAGUUCAGCGUAGAAGGCGUAAGGAUAACUUACUCUGGAGCGGCUGGAAAAGCAAAUGUAGGUAUAAGUAACGAUAAGGAGGGCGAGAAACCCUCCCGCCGGAAGACUAAGGAUUCCUGAUCAACGCUAAUCGGAUCAGGGUUAGUCGGGGCCUAAGGUAUAGCCAAAAGGCGAAGCCGAUGGAAGAACUGGUUAAUAUUCCAGUACUACUUUAUGGAGCUAAGUGGGGACGCAGAAGUGACAGUCCUGCCAACUGACGGAAUAGUUGGUUAAAGGGUGUAGAUAUUGAGGAAGCCAGGCAAAUCCGGUUUCUGAGUCGAACCUGAUAGUACCGAGAGUACUUGUACAAUCGGAUAUGGAUGUAAACAGACUGCCAAGAAAAUCCGCUACGCGUUAAUUCAUAAAGUACCCGUACCACAAACGGACACACGUGGUCAAGUAUAGCGUACUAAGGCGCUCGAGUGAUUCACAGCUAAGGAACUAGGCAAAAUAGUCAUGUAACUUCGGGAAAAAUGACGCCUCCCCGCGGGAGCGGGAGGCCGCAGAGAAAUGGCCCAGGCGACUGUUUAACAAAAACAUAGGGCUUUGCAAAAUCGAAAGAUGAAGUAUAAGGCCUGACACCUGCCCGGUGCUGGAAGGUUAAGAGGAGAGGUUAGUCGCAAGGCGAAGCUUUGAAUUGAAGCCCCAGUAAACGGCGGCCGUAACUAUAACGGUCCUAAGGUAGCGAAAUUCCUUGUCGGGUAAGUUCCGACCUGCACGAAUGGUGUAACGAUCUGGGCACUGUCUCAGCCAUGAGCUCGGUGAAAUUGUAGUAUCGGUGAAGAUGCCGAUUACCCGCAACGGGACGGAAAGACCCCGUGAACCUUUACUGCAACUUUACAUUGAAUUUGGGUAAUUGAUGUGUAGGAUAGGCCGGAGACUGUGAAGCAGGCACGCUAGUGUUUGUGGAGUCAUCCUUGAAAUACGGCCCUUUGAUUAUUUGGAUUCUAACUCCCUUAAAAGGGAGGACACUGUAUGGUGGGUAGUUUGACUGGGGUGGUCGCCUCCAAAAGAGUAACGGAGGCUUCUAAAGGUACCCUCAUGGCGAUUGGUAACCGCCAGCAGAGUGUAAUGGUAUAAGGGUGCUUGACUGUGAGACCGACGGGUCGAUCAGGUAGGAAACUAGAGCAUAGUGAUCCGGUGGUUCCGCAUGGAAGGGC